UUUGAUCCUGGCUCAGGACGAACGCUGGCGGCGUGCUUAACACAUGCAAGUCGAACGGAAAGGUCNUUCGGGGUACUCGAGUGGCGAACGGGUGAGUAACACGUGGGUGAUCUGCCCUGCACUUUGGGAUAAGCCUGGGAAACUGGGUCUAAUACCGAAUAGGACCACGCGCUUCAUGGUGUGUGGUGGAAAGCUUUUGCGGUGUGGGAUGGGCCCGCGGCCUAUCAGCUUGUUGGUGGGGUAAUGGCCUACCAAGGCGACGACGGGUAGCCGGCCUGAGAGGGUGACCGGCCACACUGGGACUGAGAUACGGCCCAGACUCCUACGGGAGGCAGCAGUGGGGAAUAUUGCACAAUGGGCGCAAGCCUGAUGCAGCGACGCCGCGUGAGGGAUGACGGCCUUCGGGUUGUAAACCUCUUUCAAUAGGGACGAAGCGCAAGUGACGGUACCUAUAGAAGAAGCACCGGCCAACUACGUGCCAGCAGCCGCGGUAAUACGUAGGGUGCGAGCGUUGUCCGGAAUUACUGGGCGUAAAGAGCUCGUAGGUGGUUUGUCGCGUUGUUCGUGAAAACUCACAGCUUAACUGUGGGCGUGCGGGCGAUACGGGCAGACUAGAGUACUGCAGGGGAGACUGGAAUUCCUGGUGUAGCGGUGGAAUGCGCAGAUAUCAGGAGGAACACCGGUGGCGAAGGCGGGUCUCUGGGCAGUAACUGACGCUGAGGAGCGAAAGCGUGGGGAGCGAACAGGAUUAGAUACCCUGGUAGUCC
This 767-nucleotide ribosomal RNA is filed under the name uncultured bacterium. RNAcentral describes it as "bacterial SSU rRNA". It matches the Rfam family "Bacterial small subunit ribosomal RNA", at positions 12 to 796 of the family's 1533-position model. The record is from RNAcentral.